CUGGUGUCAGCCGCCGCGGUAAUACCAGCACCCCGAGUGGUCGGGACGAUUAUUGGGCCUAAAGCAUCCGUAGCCGGCCUUACAAGUCCUCCGUUAAAUCCAGCUGCUUAACAGAUGGGCUGCGGAGGAUACUAUAAGACUAGGAGGCAGGAGAGGCAAGCGGUACUCAGUGGGUAGGGGUAAAAUCCGUUGAUCCAUUGAAGACCACCAGUGGCGAAGGCGGCUUGCCAGAAUGCGCUCGACGGUGAGGGAUGAAAGCUGGGGGGGCAAACCGGAUUAGAUACCCGGGUAGUCCCAGCUGUAAACGAUGCAGACUCGGUGAUGGACUAGCUUUAUGCUGGUCCAGUGCCGCAGGGAAGCCGUUAAGUCUGCCGCCUGGGUAGUACGGUACGCAAGACUGAAACUUAAAG
RNAcentral lists this ribosomal RNA (410 nucleotides) under uncultured Nitrososphaerota archaeon. RNAcentral's name for it is "bacterial SSU rRNA". It matches the Rfam family "Archaeal small subunit ribosomal RNA", at positions 452 to 861 of the family's 1478-position model. The record is from RNAcentral. Lineage: Archaea; Thermoproteati; Nitrososphaerota.